UUUAUACUUCCUCCGUCCGAAAAUACUUGUCAUCAAAAUGGAUAAAAGGAGAUGUAUCUACAUGUAUUUUAGUUCUACGUACAUCCCUUAUUAUCCAUUUUGAUGACAAGUAUUUUCGGACGGAGGGAGUACAUC
Non-coding RNA from Triticum aestivum (bread wheat), 135 nucleotides. Lineage: Eukaryota; Viridiplantae; Streptophyta; Magnoliopsida; Poales; Poaceae. The record is from Rfam.